AGUGAACGCUGGCGGUAGGCCUAACACAUGCAAGUCGAACGGCAGCACAGUAAGAGCUUGCUCUUACGGGUGGCGAGUGGCGGACGGGUGAGGAAUACAUCGGAAUCUACUUUUUCGUGGGGGAUAACGUAGGGAAACUUACGCUAAUACCGCAUACGACCUACGGGUGAAAGCAGGGGAUCUUCGGACCUUGCGCGAUUGAAUGAGCCGAUAUCGGAUUAGCUAGUUGGCGGGGUAAAGGCCCACCAGGGCGACGAUCCGUAGCUGGUCUGAGAGGAUGAUCAGCCACACUGGAACUGAGACACGGUCCAGACUCCUACGGGAGGCAGCAGUGGGGAAUAUUGGACAAUGGGCGCAAGCCUGAUCCAGCCAUACCGCGUGGGUGAAGAAGGCCUUCGGGUUGUAAAGCCCUUUUGUUGGGAAAGAAAAGCAGCAGGUUAAUACCCCGCUGUUCUGACGGUACCCAAAGAAUAAGCACCGGCUAACUUCGUG
This 492-nucleotide ribosomal RNA is filed under the name uncultured bacterium. RNAcentral describes it as "partial 16S ribosomal RNA". It matches the Rfam family "Bacterial small subunit ribosomal RNA", at positions 29 to 507 of the family's 1533-position model. The record is from RNAcentral.